AUUGAACGCUGGCGGCAGGCCUAACACAUGCAAGUCGAGCGGAUGAAGGGAGCUUGCUCCUGGAUUCAGCGGCGGACGGGUGAGUAAUGCCUAGGAAUCUGCCUGUUAGUGGGGGAUAACGUCCGGAAACGGGCGCUAAUACCGCAUACGUCCUGAGGGAGAAAGUGGGGGAUCUUCGGACCUCACGCUAUCAGAUGAGCCUAGGUCGGAUUAGCUAGUUGGUGGGGUAAAGGCCUACCAAGGCGACGAUCCGUAACUGGUCUGAGAGGAUGAUCAGUCACACUGGAACUGAGACACGGUCCAGACUCCUACGGGAGGCAGCAGUGGGGAAUAUUGGACAAUGGGCGAAAGCCUGAUCCAGCCAUGCCGCGUGUGUGAAGAAGGUCUUCGGAUUGUAAAGCACUUUAAGUUGGGAGGAAGAGCAGUAAGUUAAUACCUUGCUGUUUUGACGUUACCAACAGAAUAAGCACCGGCUAACUUCGUG
This 484-nucleotide ribosomal RNA is filed under the name uncultured bacterium. Its description in RNAcentral is "partial 16S ribosomal RNA". It matches the Rfam family "Bacterial small subunit ribosomal RNA", at positions 30 to 507 of the family's 1533-position model. The record is from RNAcentral.